This 253-nucleotide ribosomal RNA is filed under the name uncultured bacterium. RNAcentral's name for it is "partial 16S ribosomal RNA". It matches the Rfam family "Bacterial small subunit ribosomal RNA", at positions 524 to 776 of the family's 1533-position model. The record is from RNAcentral.
GACGAACCGUACGAACGUUAUUCGGAAUUACUGGGCUUAAAGGGUGUGUAGGUGGCGCCGUAAGUCGGGUGUGAAAUUUCGGAGCUUAACUCCGAAACUGCAUUCGAUACUGCGGUGCUUGAGGACUGGAGAGGAGACUGGAAUUCAUGGUGUAGCAGUGAAAUGCGUAGAGAUCAUGAGGAAGACCAGUGGCGAAGGCGGGUCUCUGGACAGUUCCUGACACUGAGACACGAAGGCCAGGGGAGCAAACGGG